Manis javanica (Malayan pangolin) is the source of this 102-nucleotide non-coding RNA. The record is from RefSeq and is a predicted model, not a curated record. Lineage: Eukaryota; Metazoa; Chordata; Mammalia; Pholidota; Manidae.
GUGCUUGCUUUGGCAGCACCUAUACUAAAAUUGGAAUGAUACAGAGAAGAUUAGCAUGGACCCUAAGAAGAAAAAAAAAAUCUUUCCAAAGUACCAGUCUAA